Molecule: long non-coding RNA, 1711 nt
Filed under: Homo sapiens (human)
Lineage: Eukaryota; Metazoa; Chordata; Mammalia; Primates; Hominidae
Description: ATXN1 antisense RNA 1
Source: RNAcentral
GCACAGAGCACGGCGAGCGCACCGCGCGGCGGCCGGCCCGCGCCCUUAACCCUUCGCUGCGCGCCGCCCGGGGAGGCGGGCACCUUUCCCAAAGAGUGGCUCGGGAUGGGGUGCGGGGGAGGGGAGACGCGGACCGGAGGGCAAGGCGCUCGGAGCAGCAUCUGAGAGGGCUCACUCUGAUCAUCAGCUGCACGUUAAGCCACAAACCGGCGUCGCUUCGGCGUUCCGGAACCCAGGCCUGGGGGCCGCGGGGAUUGCCUCUGCGUGCAACUCCGGAAAGUUUCAAGGGGUCCCCCGACUGCACAGGUCCGGAAAUCGGCUUUGAUAUGGAACUACUCCGCUCUAGCCUGGAAAGGAGACCCGCGCACUCCUCUCGCAGCUAAUUUCGGAUCAUUAAUUUAAUCGGAAAUGAGGUAACCAGUGUAGGAGACAGAGAAAGCAACCGGAGCAUCAAAUGGCAGUUCUCGAGAAUCGACGAGGAACUUAAAUCUGGACUCAGGGUUUCAGUGCGGUCUCCGACUCCCACCACCCCGCCCCUCCGCCUGUCUCGCCGCCAGGUGUGACCUCCACGCGAAGGAAUCUUCUUCGGAUGGGUGCACCUUGCCAACAGGUGUGGCACCUGGAGGACUAGGAGGCGCCUCCAGACUAAGGGCGCUCAGUGCGGCGUUCUUGUUGCAGAUGAUUCUGGAAGGCCGGUAGGUGUCGGGCGACAUUUGACCUUCUUCAGGUGCUUAGAACUAAGUGUCUGGAAACAUGAUCCUUUCGCGUAAGUUUCUUUCUGAAAGCCACCAAUCUUGACUGUAAGCUGUAUUUGAGAGAUCUUUUGGCUGAGUUUACUUAUGACCUAACGGUUAGUCACCAACUGAGGCAGGGCACAGGAUGACCAAAAAAAAAGUGUCAGUUUUUACACAACUCUGGCCUGCAAGAGCCUACGUGCUUCAUAAAUAAAAAUAAACAUACGAGCGAGGAAGGUGCAGAGCCCCGGAAAUAUUUUUUUCUCACAUUUUUGAAAUACCAUGCACAUAUAUGUGGCUAUUUAAGUAUAACUACUAGUGUUCACUCUUACUCAUUUCUACAACUUUUUUUUUUCCAUUUAAAAAUCGAUUAUUGUUACGGUUUAAACCUCGGGUUGGUCUAAAGUGACAUUGUUGGUCUCAUUACAGCCUCUAGUGGACAGUUAACAUCAGUUUCCUGAAAAGGCUCUGACUGGUUUUGUUUUCGUUGACAAGCUUUGUCAAGGUGAAGGUUAGUACGUAAGAGCAUAACCGGGUAAAAUGUCCCCUCACCCCUAUCCUCACCCCCGCCCCCAACACCCUGCUUGGCAAAGACGACUUCAGAAAGGAGCAGAAGCUUGUUGGCUUUAUAUAGAAAAGACGUAUGCUUUGUGCUGCAGGUAUUAUUAUUACUGGACUGUGAAUAAACAGAAAGCUUCUGCUAUUCAUUUCAGUUUCAGACAGCUUUCAUAAAAACUAAAUUCAUCUCAAAUAUUUUUAUAACAGAAAAUAUUGGUUGCCAUGUUUUUGGCUUAACUGCGAUGUUUUUAUUCCAACUCAUAAUCUGCAAACUGUCCAAUCCACCUCCACUCUAUUUUUAGACAUCUUACAUUUAGAUAAUUUUCAGUUAAAAAAAAGCUAAUAUUGUAAUUUUACGUUGGCACAAGCAGUUAAUUUACGUGAUUUUAACAACCUUAAAUUAAAACACAUAAUUCAGA